Oryzias melastigma (Indian medaka) is the source of this 917-nucleotide long non-coding RNA. RefSeq lists it as uncharacterized. The transcript is spliced from 2 exons. The record is from RefSeq and is a predicted model, not a curated record. NCBI's taxonomy places the organism in Eukaryota, Metazoa, Chordata, Actinopteri, Beloniformes, Adrianichthyidae.
UCAGCAUAAAGAAUAUAACAGAUUUAGGAUGCAGAGUGCUACCUCGCUGCAUUAGCUCAGUAUGUGCCAGGUUCAGUGUGUAUCCAGGGCAAGGCUGCUUCUCAGGAAGCAUGCUUCCAGCUCACCAAGGAUGCCAUCUUACAGUUGGCAUCCUUGGUGACCGUAAUUACGUAAGCAUGACCAUAAUUACUUAAACCUCUCAAAGUGUGUCAAGAGCUUCUCAUUAAGAGAUAAAGUUUCUUUCCCCUUAAAUUGCAGAAACUAUUACUUAUGCAUGCCUGAAACAUGAGAUGCGAAAUUAUUGUUGGGUGAAUAAAAAAAAGCCCCUUCAGCCCCACUCUUUCCAUUAACAUCACAAGACGAAAACUCCACACUUAACACAAUCUGACUCUUUCCAAUAAAAGCCAAGUCAAAUGUUCUGUCUAACCACUGAUGCAGGGCUGAGUUUGUGGCCAAGCAGCCUGCGCCUUUAAAUUUUUCAUCUUCCUUCAUAAUUUGACCUGUCCCCCUGCCAGGGGCGUGGAGCCAGCACGGCUAUUUUUAGUUUGUGAGCUUUGACGACCAGGCUACAGAGACACAGGGAAGGAGUUUUACUGUGUUGUUUCAGCUGGACAAACAUUUACCUCCUCAAUCCUUUUAUCACGGCGCAACCGAGGAGGAAAUGCACGGCUUGCAGGCUCGCCCCAGACACAAAAACAAGUCUGAUGGUUGGAUGGGAUGGUGUGAGUGAUAACAAGCCCUCAAGUCCAGCGUAAUGAUGGCUAAAGACCCAGAGCUCCAUCUGUCACAGUAUCUGUCAGACGGGCUGAGCUGUGACCCGAUAGGCUAGCCGCAUCACAGGCCAGGACACAAUUACUCAAAAGAAGAAGAGGGUCUGUCACACGCGUGACAAUUACCCUGACAAAAAAAAAAAAAAA